RNAcentral lists this ribosomal RNA (620 nucleotides) under uncultured earthworm cast bacterium. Its description in RNAcentral is "bacterial SSU rRNA". It matches the Rfam family "Bacterial small subunit ribosomal RNA", at positions 46 to 684 of the family's 1533-position model. The record is from RNAcentral.
GCCUAAUACAUGCAAGUCGAGCGCCUCUACUAAGGUUACGAAUUAAUUCGUAGGUUUGGUUGAGGAGCGGCGGACGGCAGAGUAACGCGUACGAACGUACCCCAAACUGAGGGAUAAGCACCGGAAACGGUGUCUAAUACCGCAUAAUACCUCCGGGUUAAAGCUACGGCGGUUUGGGAGCGGCGUGCGUCUGAUUAGCUAGUUGGUGAGGUAAAGGCUCACCAAGGCGACGAUCGGUAGCUGGUCUGAGAGGAUGACCAGCCUGACUGGAACCGAGAACGGUCCAGACUCCUACGGGAGGCAGCAGUAGGGAAUUUUCCACAAUGGGGGCAACCCUGAUGGAGCAACGCCGCGUGCAGGAGGAAGGCCCUCGGGUCGUAAACUGCUUUUAUCUGUGACGAUUUUGACGGUAGCAGAUGAAUAAGGAUUGGCUAAUUCCGUGCCAGCAGCCGCGGUCAUACGGAAGAUCCAAGCGUUAUCCGGAAUUACUGGGCGUAAAGAGUUGCGUAGGUGGCAUAGCAAGCAGGUAGUGAAAUUACACGGCUCAACCGUGUGCACAUUAUCUGAACUGUUAAGCUAGAGCAUGAGAGAGGUAGAUGGAAUUUCUAGUGUAGGAGUGA